UACGAAGGGGGCUAGCGUUGCUCGGAAUUACUGGGCGUAAAGCGCACGUAGGCGGCUUUCUAAGUCGGGGGUGAAAUCCUGGAGCUCAACUCCAGAACUGCCUUCGAUACUGGAGAGCUCGAGUCCGGAAGAGGCGAGUGGAAUUCCUGGUGUAGCGGUGAAAUGCGCAGAUAUCAGGAGGAACACCGAUGGCGAAGGCAGCUCGCUGGGACGGUACUGACGCUGAGGCGCGAAAGCGUGGGGAGCAAACAGG
Molecule: ribosomal RNA, 253 nt
Filed under: uncultured bacterium
Lineage: Bacteria
Description: partial 16S ribosomal RNA
Rfam family: Bacterial small subunit ribosomal RNA
Source: RNAcentral